Molecule: ribosomal RNA, 1451 nt
Filed under: Bacillus aerophilus
Lineage: Bacteria; Bacillati; Bacillota; Bacilli; Caryophanales; Bacillaceae
Description: bacterial SSU rRNA
Rfam family: Bacterial small subunit ribosomal RNA
Source: RNAcentral
CUUAGCUAGUUGAUCUACAUGCGAGUCGAGCGGACAGAAGCGGAGCUUGCUCCCGGAUGUUAUAGGCGGACGGGUGAGUAACACGUGGGUAACCUGCCUGUAAGACUGGGAUAACUCCGGGAAACCGGAGCUAAUACCGGAUAGUUCCUUGAACCGCAUGGUUCAAGGAUGAAAGACGGUUUCGGCUGUCACUUACAGAUGGACCCGCGGCGCAUUAGCUAGUUGGUGAGGUAACGGCUCACCAAGGCGACGAUGCGUAGCCGACCUGAGAGGGUGAUCGGCCACACUGGGACUGAGACACGGCCCAGACUCCCGGGAGGCAGCAGUAGGGAAUCUUCCGCAAUGGACGAAAGUCUGACGGAGCAACGCCGCGUGAGUGAUGAAGGUUUUCGGAUCGUAAAGCUCUGUUGUUAGGGAAGAACAAGUGCAAGAGUAACUGCUUGCACCUUGACGGUACCUAACCAGAAAGCCACGGCUAACUACGUGCCAGCAGCCGCGGUAAUACGUAGGUGGCAAGCGUUGUCCGGAAUUAUUGGGCGUAAAGGGCUCGCAGGCGGUUUCUUAAGUCUGAUGUGAAAGCCCCCGGCUCAACCGGGGAGGGUCAUUGGAAACUGGGAAACUUGAGUGCAGAAGAGGAGAGUGGAAUUCCACGUGUAGCGGUGAAAUGCGUAGAGAUGUGGAGGAACACCAGUGGCGAAGGCGACUCUCUGGUCUGUAACUGACGCUGAGGAGCGAAAGCGUGGGGAGCGAACAGGAUUAGAUACCCUGGUAGUCCACGCCGUAAACGAUGAGUGCUAAGUGUUAGGGGGUUUCCGCCCCUUAGUGCUGCAGCUAACGCAUUAAGCACUCCGCCUGGGGAGUACGGUCGCAAGACUGAAACUCAAAGGAAUUGACGGGGGCCCGCACAAGCGGUGGAGCAUGUGGUUUAAUUCGAAGCAACGCGAAGAACCUUACCAGGUCUUGACAUCCUCUGACAACCCUAGAGAUAGGGCUUUCCCUUCGGGGACAGAGUGACAGGUGGUGCAUGGUUGUCGUCAGCUCGUGUCGUGAGAUGUUGGGUUAAGUCCCGCAACGAGCGCAACCCUUGAUCUUAGUUGCCAGCAUUCAGUUGGGCACUCUAAGGUGACUGCCGGUGACAAACCGGAGGAAGGUGGGGAUGACGUCAAAUCAUCAUGCCCCUUAUGACCUGGGCUACACCGUGCUACAAUGGACAGAACAAAGGGCUGCGAGACCGCAAGGUUUAGCCAAUCCCACAAAUCUGUUCUCAGUUCGGAUCGCAGUCUGCAACUCGACUGCGUGAAGCUGGAAUCGCUAGUAAUCGCGGAUCAGCAUGCCGCGGUGAAUACGUUCCCGGGCCUUGUACACACCGCCCGUCACACCACGAGAGUUUGCAACACCCGAAGUCGGUGAAGGUAACUGGUUACGGAGUCACGUAGUAGAGAGAGGAAUAC